This 253-nucleotide ribosomal RNA is filed under the name uncultured bacterium. RNAcentral describes it as "partial 16S ribosomal RNA". It matches the Rfam family "Bacterial small subunit ribosomal RNA", at positions 524 to 776 of the family's 1533-position model. The record is from RNAcentral.
UACAGAGGUGGCAAGCGUUGUUCGGAAUCACUGGGCUUAAAGCGCGUGUAGGCGGCUCGGAAAGUGUCGUGUGAAAUCCCAGGGCUCAACCCUGGAACUGCGCGGCAAACUCCCGAGCUUGAGGCUGGUAGAGGUGCCUGGAACUCUCGGUGGAGCGGUGAAAUGCGUAGAUAUCGAGAGGAACGCCAGAGGCGAAAGCGGGGCACUGGGCCGGUUCUGACGCUGAGACGCGAAAGCGUGGGGAGCAAACAGG